This 452-nucleotide unclassified non-coding RNA is filed under the name Hevea brasiliensis (rubber tree). The record is from RNAcentral. Lineage: Eukaryota; Viridiplantae; Streptophyta; Magnoliopsida; Malpighiales; Euphorbiaceae.
AACAACAAAAGUCUAUUUUAAAGCUUAGAGUUGUAUGAAUUGUUAUGCUGUAGAUUGUUAGUUUGGACUUUCGAGCAGUAUUAUAGGAAAGAUAUGUCACCAAUGGACCGUGAGUAUCAACAACGGAAGGAGGUAGCAGCAUUAUGUGCAAACUUAGUCACAUCCAACACUGAUGGACCACAAGUAUCAACUACAGAAAGAGAUCAUAUUUGCUGUCAAUUUACACAAAGUUCAGUCAAACCACAUUCUCAACAGUUAAUUCUGAAAUGGUCAUCAAGAGAAGCAAGUAAAAGGGCAGCUCGGUGUACUAAGCAACAAGCCACAGCGCUAAAGAGUGAGAUGUAGGCUGUCUACCCCUGUGACCUAUAGAUCACACGGAGACAACUUUACCGUUGCUUCAAGGCAACCCUUCAAGUCAGAAGCAAACUGAAGUACAAAUUAUGUAAGUGGAA